RNAcentral lists this unclassified non-coding RNA (315 nucleotides) under uncultured fungus. RNAcentral describes it as "partial contains small subunit ribosomal RNA, internal transcribed spacer 1, and 5.8S ribosomal RNA". The stretch from base 1 to 73 matches the Rfam family "Eukaryotic small subunit ribosomal RNA", at positions 1759 to 1831 of the family's 1831-position model. Lineage: Eukaryota; Fungi. The record is from RNAcentral.
UCAAACUUGGUCAUUUAGAGGAAGUAAAAGUCGUAACAAGGUUUCCGUAGGUGAACCUGCGGAAGGAUCAUUACUGAGUUAGGGUCUAAUCGGCCCGACCUCCCACCCUAUGUUUACUUAAAAACUUUUGUUGCUUCGGUGGGCCCGUCUUCGGACCGCCGGAGGGUCGUCACGGACCCUCUGGCUCGUGCCUACCGGUGGCCUCUUUAUUAAACUCUUGAAUCAUUCGUGUCAAUUGUCUAAGUAAAGUCUUUAAUUAAAAGCAAAACUUUCAACAACGGAUCUCUUGGUUCUGGCAUCGAUGAAGAACGCAGC